RNAcentral lists this ribosomal RNA (468 nucleotides) under uncultured bacterium. RNAcentral describes it as "partial 16S ribosomal RNA". It matches the Rfam family "Bacterial small subunit ribosomal RNA", at positions 28 to 507 of the family's 1533-position model. The record is from RNAcentral.
GACGAACGCUGGCGGCGUGCUUAACACAUGCAAGUCGAACGGAAAGGCCCUGCUUUUGUGGGGUGCUCGAGUAGCGAACGGGUGAGUAACACGUGAGUAACCUGCCCUUGACUUUGGGAUAACUUCAGGAAACUGGGGCUAAUACCGGAUAGGAGCUCCUGCUGCAUGGUGGGGGUUGGAAAGUUUCGGCGGUUGGGGAUGGACUCGCGGCUUAUCAGCUUGUUGGUGGGGUAGUGGCUUACCAAGGCUUUGACGGGUAGCCGGCCUGAGAGGGUGACCGGGCACAUUGGGACUGAGGUAGGGCCCAGACUCCUACGGGAGGCAGCAGUGGGGAAUAUUGCGCAAUGGGCGGAAGCCUGAUGCAGCAACGCCGCGUGCGGGAUGACGGCCUUCGGGUUGUAAACCGCUUUCGCCUGUGACGAAGCGUGAGUGACGGUAAUGGGUAAAGAAGCACCGGCUAACUACGUG